Molecule: unclassified non-coding RNA, 3588 nt
Filed under: Hevea brasiliensis (rubber tree)
Lineage: Eukaryota; Viridiplantae; Streptophyta; Magnoliopsida; Malpighiales; Euphorbiaceae
Source: RNAcentral
UUUUUUUUUUUUUUUUAAUUUUCGUAUAUAUAUGUAUAUAUGUGGAAAUAGGAUUUUAUGCUUUUGGCAUCUGGGUGAAUUUUAAUCUUAUUAGUUGUUCUUUUUUACCCCCUCAAAUUUUUCCCCUUGGUUUGCUUGUCGGUUUGCCCACUACCUGUGCCUUUUAGCCUUUAAAGUACCUUUUCCUCUUUGUACUCGGUAGCUUUUUAUGCUUUUAUUCAACGAAGAGUUCAAUCAGUGUGACAGUAUCCACAGUGCUACUGCAAAUUUCAGGAUCCAUUCUGAAAUUACUUUUUCUUUUUUUUGCUUGAUGCUAGAGGUUCUGAUUCUAAGAAUGGCUUUUUCGGACGGUUGAUGAUAUAGGUCAAUUUUGUUUUCAUUUGUCCCCUUGUUUUUCCACUAUUGUGAAUAACUGAUGAUCAAUCGGUUAACUGCUGUGCUUCAAUCUUACGAGGUGGUGGUAUACUUGCAAGUCUUCACUAUUGCAUAAUGAGUACUACUAAUGUGGUUGAAGGUGGAAACAAGCGACCUUUUAGUCCUAACUUGUAUGUUGUUUGCAUCUGUUCUUAUAAACUUUUUCUUAUUUGGAGCAAAUGGAAAAUGCCCUUUUAAAAACUUUCUACUAAUACGGUAGCUGUAUGGUAGUCCUCCCUUCAAAAAUUCUCGCAUCCAAGUAUUUUGCAUAUGUUAUGGCAAAAUCUGAAGUUUCUUUAUAAAAAGAAGUGCAUUCAGCCUUUUCUACCAAUGAAAUGAAAGUCAAUGAUCUAUUCUAUGUUAAUUUUUUCCUUGUGCUCAUCUCAGUCUGUGGAUUGACUGACUUUUUGGUUAAUUGUUUUGGAUGUUUCGAGUGGAAUGUUUUCUCCUUUUUCUAUUGGUCUUUCUAGCUUUUGAUUUGAAAGUCAAAAAGAAGAGGUAAAGAUGAAGGACUGUAAUUUUUCCUUUUUCUUAUUGGCCUUGGUGACCAAAUUUAAUUACCUGCUAUUGAUACCUGAUCAAAUGGUCAUGGGGUCAGUGUGAGUAUCAUAAUAGUAGUUGAUUAGGGCAUGAGAGCAAAGUUCCGGGCUGAGCCUUAGCAGCCUGGAAAUACAGAGGCCCUCCAAAAUGACUUUGCUGUCUUGAUCUCACUUCAUAAGAUUACGUUUUAACCUCUUUUCUGAGUAGGAGCAAUGAUAAUCUCAACUAUAUUGUACUUUGCUAUUAACAAUCUCCUUCGCUAUUAAAACGUAUCAUCCAAAACCUGAGUCCUGACCUUUUCACUUAUUUUUUCUGCUUUUUCACUAAGAUUAAUUGUGUUGACUCUAUUAUCUUACUUUGUCCCCCCUUUCUGUUUGCAGACAAUAGUGAUCUGUUAAUACAUUGCUGUAGAUAAUAGAGACAAGGCCCCAAAAAUUUGUGGUCGCAAGUGAAUUAUAUUAUGCUCGACUAUUUAUCAAUGUCUGCUGAAUAGUAGCAUGUAGCUUUUGGAAAUUAGUUACUUUAUCAAGUAAAGGGAGCAAUUCUCAUUGAAAAGUUUAUUAUAUCUAUUGAGAACAUCAAGUCAAUCAGAGGCUAGUUUUAGAUGCAAACAUCUCAGAAACACAAAAGUUCAGCUGGUAUUCACGGGUUUUACCACCAACCACAAGAGAUUGAUCAAUAUGGUUUGCCUCAUAUACAAAUUUUAGACAACAAUGUAUUCUCAGAUGUCGGCAAUCAAGGAACCACUGUGUCCUUUCAAAACUACAAGGACGAAUACUUUACCUUGGAAUCUUCCACGGCUACUGGAGGUUUUGUUGUCUAUGAUUCACCUGCUGCCAGUGUCUCAUCCAACAGAAGUCCCUUUUCACCCCAAGGUUCACAUUCGUACCUAUCAGAUCCUCAUCAUUCUCCUGAUAACAUAUAUGGAUCUCCAAUGAGUGGAUCUUCAUCUGCUGAUGAUGACAAUGUACUAAUGAGGCAGAAAUUAAGGGAACUGGAAUUUUUGUUACUGGGGUCUGAAUCAGACAUUACAAAAAACUGUGAUUUCUGCUUCCAUCAAGCUGAUCGAUUAGCAAGUUGGGACUGGAACCAAAUGGUAGAAAUGAUCCCUAGGUUAGACAUAAAACAGGUGCUCUUUGCCUGUGCGCAGUCUGUAUCUGAUGGUGAUAUACAAAGAGCUGCAGGUUUAAUGCAUGUGUUGGAGCAAAUGGUUUCAGUCUCUGGGGAGCCAAUGCAGCGUUUGGGAGCUUACAUGUUGGAAGGGCUCAGAGCUAGGGUGGAACUCUCAGGAAGUAAAAUCUACAGAGCCUUGAAGUGUGAUGCACCACUGAGCUCAGAUCUGAUGACUUACAUGGGUAUUCUCUUUAAGAUCUGUCCCUACUGGAGGUUUGCAUACACAGCUGCCAAUGUUGUCAUCCGUGAAGCUAUGGUGUAUGAGCCUAGAAUUCACAUAAUUGAUUUCCAGAUUGCACAGGGCACCCAGUGGAUGUACUUAAUCAAGUCACUUGCAGAUCGGCCAGGUGGCCCCCCGUCAAUUCGCAUAACUGGUGUUGAUGAUCCCCAGUCAGCUCAUGCUCGUGGUGGUGGACUUCCUAUUGUAGGGCACAAGCUAUCAUGUUUUGCUGAGUCAUGCAAUGUGCCAUUUGAGUUCUAUGACGCCGCCAUGUCUGGUUGUGAGGUUCAACUUGAACAUCUUGGGUUGCAGCCUGGAGAAGCUGUGGUUGUGAAUUUUCCAUAUGUAUUGCACCACAUGCCAGAUGAGAGUGUGAACACAUGGAAUCACAGAGACCGACUGUUAAGGCUGGUAAAGAGUUUGUCACCAAAGGUUGUGACGCUCAUUGAGCAAGAAUCUAACACUAAUACUAAGCCAUUCCUUCCAAGGUUCAAGGCAACACUAGAAUAUUAUGCCGCCAUGUUUGAAUCAAUUGAUGCUGGAUCCUCUAGGGAUGACAAGCAGAGGAUAAAUGCUGAGCAACACUGUGUGGCUCGCGACAUUGUCAAUAUGAUUGCUUGUGAGGGAGCUGACAGGGUUGAACGACACGAACUCUUUGGGAAGUGGAGUUUGCGAUUUAAUAUGGCUGGAUUUACUCAGUACCCACUAACUUCCAUGGUGACAGGUGCUGUCAGAGAUUUAUUGAGAGAAUAUGACAGGAACUAUGGACUUCAAGAGAAGGAUGGUGCUCUUUACCUUUGGUGGAUUAACACACCCAUGGCAACCUUUUCCGCUUGGAGGUGAAACCCUGAUAGUAGCAGUGGAGUUCUUUAACAUCUGUAAAAUUUGUCAUUGCUGUUUUGCUACGAAAGUUUUAAGUUAUGACCUGUAGUGAUGUUUGUCUUUGUAGAAGUAAUUGAGAAUAGCUAUUUUUCAGAUACUAGUGUCAGUUCAAAUACUCAACUCUUAGAUUUCACUGUACAUCUCCCGCUGCGGAAUGAAAUAAAAACAGUUCCGCAUUAUGCUGCAAUUUAUCUUCUAGCAAUAAUUAGUAUCUGUUUCAGAACCUACACGUUUUUUGAACUGAAAUGAAAUAGUUUCAGUUCUUCUGGAAAGCUAGCAAAUGAUGUAAGGUUUAGUGAGUGUAGUCUUGUAUGCAUAUCUCAGAAGUUUAACAACUUAUUAAUGCAGGAUGGUAUUAU